RNAcentral lists this ribosomal RNA (747 nucleotides) under uncultured bacterium. RNAcentral describes it as "bacterial SSU rRNA". It matches the Rfam family "Bacterial small subunit ribosomal RNA", at positions 34 to 832 of the family's 1533-position model. The record is from RNAcentral.
CCGUGCCGGCAGCUAACACAUGCAAGUCGAGCGCGCCUUCGGGCGAGCGGCGGACGGGUUAGUAACGCGGGGAACGUGCCCAGAUCUACGGAAUAGCCACUGGAAACGGUGAGUAAUACCGUAUACGCCCUUCGGGGGAAAGAUUUAUCGGAUUUGGAUCGGCCCGCGUUAGAUUAGGUAGUUGGUGGGGUAACGGCCUACCAAGCCUACGAUCUAUAGCUGGUUUUAGAGGAUGAUCAGCAACACUGGGACUGAGACACGGCCCAGACUCCUACGGGAGGCAGCAGUGGGGAAUAUUGGACGAUGGGGGCAACCCUGAUCCAGCCAUGCCGCGUGAGUGAAGAAGGCCCUAGGGUCGUAAAACUCUUUCGCCUGUGAUGAUAAUGACAGUAGCAGGUAAAGAAACCCCGGCUAACUCCGUGCCAGCAGCCGCGGUAAUACGGAGGGGGUUAGCGUUGUUCGGAAUUACUGGGCGUAAAGCGCACGUAGGCGGAUUAGAAAGUUAGAGGUGAAAUCCCGGGGCUCAACCCCGGAACUGCCUUUAAAACUACUAGUCUAGAGUUCGAGAGAGGUGAGUGGAACUCCGAGUGUAGAGGUGAAAUUCGUAGAUAUUCGGAGGAACACCAGUGGCGAAGGCGGCUCACUGGCUCGAUACUGACGCUGAGGUGCGAAAGUGUGGGGAGCAAACAGGAUUAGAUACCCUGGUAGUCCACACCGUAAACGAUGAAUGCCAGUCGUCGGGUAGUA